UGCAGCUGUCCUACUGCGCUUACUCUGAUAUAACCACGAUUAACAACACAAUAGUACUAUUGACAAUCUAACUUCUGAAUUAUCACAGGCGCACGCUGAAGGCGGAAAUGAAGCAUGAUCUGGCUUGCAUCUGGUCAUGAAGAAAUUGCUGACACGUUAGUUGCAGUCCACCUCCACCAACAGGGUGGAAAACAAAGAUCGCCAUUCCGAUUAGCUGCUAUCUCCCAGUUCAAGCACUUUUGCUGUCUGGACACUGGUUCCUGUGGAUGGGGUGUUACAAGCUUUACUGUCUGAUAUAGAAGUGAUGAGCAUCCAUAAGGACACAUGCCAGAAAGGGAGUCUCUUUGGGAUGACAAACCCUCAUCACCUCAUGAGGACACAAUGGUUGACGAAUGGUUCUCAAGCACAUCGAAACUUCCAACAAAUAAUUCAUGAAAAAGCCAGUCACUGCUAGCACCAGGAAUUGAACGUGGGCCAUCCUGCUACCAGUCAGAGAUGUUCAGUGGUGUAGCCACGAGGGGGCUAAGGGGUCUCGAGCCCCCCCUACCUGCCACGGACCGACCCACACAAAUCGUGCAAAUCCGAGAACAUAAUAUAUGGGGGGGGGGACCAGUGUGACUAUCGCGAAAGUUCUUGCAGUUCAUGGCGUCUAUCUAAGAAGCAUUCUUGAAUGGUUUUCAAAGUAUGAGCUUUUCAAAAUACUUCCAAUCUCGUGACACCACUUCAUUGGUCAUGACAGCCUAUACAUGUAAUCGUACUGUGAACGUCUAAAUCAACUAUUUUCGUUCCCUUUUUUAAUCCUCAGUUUGAAGUGUGCACAAGUAUGUGUGUGUUGUCGACACAGGAUCAGC
Long non-coding RNA from Ornithodoros turicata, 851 nucleotides. RefSeq lists it as uncharacterized. The record is from RefSeq and is a predicted model, not a curated record. The transcript is spliced from 3 exons. NCBI's taxonomy places the organism in Eukaryota, Metazoa, Arthropoda, Arachnida, Ixodida, Argasidae.